RNAcentral lists this ribosomal RNA (465 nucleotides) under uncultured bacterium. RNAcentral describes it as "partial 16S ribosomal RNA". It matches the Rfam family "Bacterial small subunit ribosomal RNA", at positions 338 to 795 of the family's 1533-position model. The record is from RNAcentral.
CCUACGGGGGGCAGCAGUGGGGAAUAUUGCGCAAUGGGCGAAAGCCUGACGCAGCGACGCCGCGUGAGGGAUGAAGGUCUUCGGAUCGUAAACCUCUGUCAGCAGGGAAGAACGGUCACUGUGCUAAUCAGCAGUGAAUUGACUGUACCUGCAAAGGAAGCACAGGCUAACUCCGUGCCAGCCGCCGCGGUAAUACGGAGGGUGCGAGCGUUAAUCGGAAUUACUGGGCGUAAAGCGCUCGUAGGCGGUAUGUCAAGUCAAGGGUGAAAUCCCCGCGCUCAACGUGGGAACUGCCUUUGAAACUGGCAAACUGGAGUGUGUGAGAGGAUAGUGGAAUUCCAGGUGUAGGAGUGAAAUCCGUAGAUAUCUGGAGGAACAUCAGUGGCGAAGGCGACUAUCUGGCACAUAACUGACGCUGAGGAGCGAAAGCGUGGGUAGCAAACAGGAUUAGAUACCCCUGUAGUC